GGGUUAGGCAUGUCUGAGCUCAGACUCUCCUUGGGUGGGGCUUGCCGUGGCUGCUGUGGGGGAUGGGAUGUUGUUUCCAGUCCAGUUGAAUUAUGUUCCUGGGAAAUUAUGGCUACCUCUGCUGUGUCACAUAGGUUGCCAAGGAAGUGGGAGAAAGCCAGCAGCCACAAGCCUCACCCAGCUCCCAUGGAGCCUGCAGCCUGCAGCUUGAAAGGCCAGCCUCAUUCCCACUGUGCCCCCACAACAGCACCGAAGCACCGAGUUUAUUUCCAGGCAGGCAGUGAGCAGGGCUGAGAAAUUGCCCCAGGCUACAAGCCUCCCAGCUGAGAAAGCAAGCAGACUCACAGUUCCUUGGCUGUCCCAUGCAGCCUGCAGCAGCAAUCCACCCCCUUUAAAGUGUCUGUGGAUUCUUUCAGCUUUUUUGGUUCAAGCAAUUCUCCUGUCUCAGCCUCCCGAGUAGCUGGGAUUACAGUCAUGUGCCCCUGUGUCCAGAAUUGGUUCCUUCUGGUGGGUUCUUGGUCUUGCUGUCUUCAAGAAUGAAGCCGUGGACCCUCGUCAUGAAUGUUACAGUUCUUAAAGAUGAAGAGAACAGCAUCAGGGCACAUUGAGGCUCAGAAAUUUAUAUUCCAAGAAGAGGUGCACAGGAACAGAGCAGAUCCAAAGCAGACAACCACCUGGAAGCAGUCAUAACAACAGCAAUAGCAAAUCAAUGCUGAUAAAAGAAAUCAAGUACAGAGAGUUUUAAGGACAUUGUCCAAAGUUGUACAAGAUCCAGCACUGCUUCCUGAGUCAAGCCACAGCUUCAUCUGACAAUCUAAACUGAGGCUGAGUUUGUCAUCUCUGUUGACAUGCUAUAAAAAUGAAAUAAAACUCAGGCGAACAUGACAGGCCUUGACCUAUUCUGCUGUGCCUGAUGCCAUCAACAGUAGCUUCCAAACACAACAUUUACAAACACAACCUGUUUCAAUCUGACUGAUUAUGUGAUUCUCCUGAUGCUGAGUGGCCUUAAGUUGUGCCACGUGUGAUUAUCAAGGCUACAGUUACUCAGUGAAGAUACACAUGGGGCUUAACCAAACCAAUGUAAUGGUGAUCCAAAUCAGCUUUAACAACAAAUCCUCAAGAGAGUGACUGAAUAAUGACUUCAGGUCAUAUGUUUGUGUGUGCAUAGAUUGGGCUGUGAAAUUGGGGAUGAAGAUUGCUUUUUGGCCUUUUGUCCCCUGUAAUUAUUGGAAGACUCAUAGCAUCCCUUUCAUCACACUAUUUUGAUUAAGACAGUUACACAGGUCCCUCCAGAUUUGAGGAUCAAUGUCACUGUAAGUAUAUGGGUCAUGGGGGUCUAUAAUCAAAAACUAAAAAAAAAAUACAUGUUGGCAUGGAUGUGGUGAACAAGGAACACUUCUACACUGCUGGUGGGAAUGUAAACUAGUACAACCACUAUGGAGAUUCCUUAAAGAACUAAAAGUGGAACUACCAUUUGAUCCAGCAAUCCCACUACUGGGUAUCUACCCAGAGGAAAAGAAGUCAUUAUACAAAAAAGAUACUUGCACAUGCAUGUUUAUAGCAACGCAAUUCACAAUUCACAAUUGUGUUGUGCAAAAAUGUGGAACCAACCAAAUGCCUAUCAGUCAAUGAGUGGAUUAAGAAACUGUGGCAUACUACUCAGUCAUACUACUCAGUCAUAAAAAGGAAUG
Molecule: long non-coding RNA, 1691 nt
Filed under: Homo sapiens (human)
Lineage: Eukaryota; Metazoa; Chordata; Mammalia; Primates; Hominidae
Description: HSALNT0249253
Source: RNAcentral